CUCGCUUCUCGCAUCUUCUCAUCCACCAGGGCCACCCCCAACUUCUCUCGAAUAACUUUAUUCUUAAUCUUAUCUAAUCUGGUGAGCCCGCACAUCCACCUGAGCAUCCUCAUCUCCGCAACCUUCAUUCUCUUCACAACUCCUCACCGGGGCAUCAGGACUUCUCCUCCGCACAUGCCCGAACCACCUCAGCGUCGCUUCUCGCAUCCUCUCAUUCACCGGGGCCACCCCCACCUUCUCUCGAAUAACUUCAUUCUUAAUCAUAUCUAACUUGGUGAGCCCGCACAUCCACCAGAGCAUCCUCAUCUCCGCAACCUUCAUUCUCUGAACAUGAGNNN
This 338-nucleotide long non-coding RNA is filed under the name Nicotiana benthamiana. RNAcentral's name for it is "long non-coding RNA (NBEN_LNC015236)". Lineage: Eukaryota; Viridiplantae; Streptophyta; Magnoliopsida; Solanales; Solanaceae. The record is from RNAcentral.